GCCUGGCUGGCUUAGUCGGUUAAGCGUCCGAUUUCAGCUCAGGUCACGAUCUCAAGGUUCAUGGGUUCGAGCCCAUGUGAGGCU
Molecule: transfer RNA, 84 nt
Filed under: Felis catus (domestic cat)
Lineage: Eukaryota; Metazoa; Chordata; Mammalia; Carnivora; Felidae
Also listed under: 1 other name
Rfam family: tRNA
About the family: Transfer RNA (tRNA) molecules are approximately 80 nucleotides in length. Their secondary structure includes four short double-helical elements and three loops (D, anti-codon, and T loops).
Source: Rfam by way of RNAcentral